UGGGGAAUUUUGGACAAUGGGCGAAAGCCUGAUCCAGCAAUGCCGCGUGUGUGAAGAAGGCCUUCGGGUUGUAAAGCACUUUUGUCCGGAAAGAAAUCCUUGGCUCUAAUACAGUCGGGGGAUGACGGUACCGGAAAAAUAAGCACCGGCUAACUACGUGCCAGCAGCCGCGGUAAUACGUAGGGUGCAAGCGUUAAUCGGAAUUACUGGGCGUAAAGCGUGCGCAGGCGGUUUGCUAAGACCGAUGUGAAAUCCCCGGGCUCAACCUGGGAACUGCAUUGGUGACUGGCAGGCUAGAGUAUGGCAGAGGGGGGUAGAAUUCCACGUGUAGCAGUGAAAUGCGUAGAGAUGUGGAGGAAUACCGAUGGCGAAGGCAGCCCCCUGGGCCAAUACUGACGCUCAUGCACGAAAAGCGUGGGGAGCAAAACAGGAUUAGAUACCCUGGUAGUCCACGCCCUAAAACGAUGUCAACUAGUUGUU
Molecule: ribosomal RNA, 480 nt
Filed under: uncultured bacterium
Lineage: Bacteria
Description: partial 16S ribosomal RNA
Rfam family: Bacterial small subunit ribosomal RNA
Source: RNAcentral